RNAcentral lists this ribosomal RNA (216 nucleotides) under uncultured bacterium. RNAcentral's name for it is "partial 16S ribosomal RNA". It matches the Rfam family "Bacterial small subunit ribosomal RNA", at positions 118 to 351 of the family's 1533-position model. The record is from RNAcentral.
UGGGAACAUACCUUUUGGUUCGGAACAACACAGGGAAACUUGUGCUAAUACCGGAUAAGCCCUUACGGGGAAAGAUUUAUCGCCGAAAGAUUGGCCCGCGUCUGAUUAGCUAGUUGGUGAGGUAACGGCUCACCAAGGCGACGAUCAGUAGCUGGUCUGAGAGGAUGAUCAGCCACAUUGGGACUGAGAUACGGCCCAAACUCCUACGGGAGGCAG